RNAcentral lists this ribosomal RNA (531 nucleotides) under ectomycorrhizal root tip 70_Ny1.E2-17.2. RNAcentral's name for it is "eukaryotic LSU rRNA". The stretch from base 129 to 253 matches the Rfam family "5.8S ribosomal RNA". Lineage: Eukaryota; Fungi. The record is from RNAcentral.
CACGCCUUGACAUCUUUAUAUCUCCACCUGUGCACCUUUUGUAGANGCCUUUCCCAAAAGGUGUCUAUGUCUUUCAUCUGCCCCAAUUAAUGUAUGUCAAUAGAAUGUUGUUAUAAUAUAAUCUAUACAACUUUCAGCAACGGAUCUCUUGGCUCUCAAGUAAUGUGAAUUGCAGAAUUCAGUAGAAUCAUCGAAUCUUUGAACGCACCUUGCGCUCCUUGGUAUUCCUUGGAGCAUGCCUGUUUGAGUAUCGUGAAAUCCUCGAAAUAGAUCUUUUGUUCAUUCGAUUGAUUGUAUUUUGGACUUGGAGGUCUUGCAGAUUUCACGUCUGCUCCUCUCAAAUGCAUNAGCUGGAUCUCCGUGAGCUCGGUUCUACUCGGCGUGGAUAAGCAAUCACGUCGCCGAGGACACUGUAAAAAGUGGCCGGGCAUUGCAGAUGAACUGCUUCCAAUCGUCUAUUAGCUUAGACAAUCGAACCUUGUACGAUCUGAUCUCAAAUCAGGUAGGACUUACCCGCUGAACUUAAGCAUA